UACUCCCUCGCUCCUUCCAGAGUCCAAACGCGCACAUCUCACCAUAUAAACGUGAACCCCAGCCAUUCACUCUGAUCUCUACAUUUUCAGUUUCAACCUCACGGAAUUCCAAGCUUUCAACCUCGAAAAACAUUAAUUUCUUCAUAUAGAAAUAAAUCGAGGAGGUUCUAUUUCUUCUACGUUUCUCAAACUAAGCGAUUGGAAGAAGAACAAUGUCGGUGACGUCAAGAACGACUCAGCUCCAAAUGCACAAGAAAUGGAAAGGCAGAGAAACAAGCCCUGAACGCACUAAAGUUUGGACUGAACCCCCUAACCAUAAUAAGCUCAACAAAGUACCCGUUGUUUACUAUCUCUCCAGAAAUGGCCAACUUGAACAUCCUCAUUUUAUGGAAGUUCCCCUAAUAUCCUCUCCUGAUGGUCUCUAUCUCAGAGAUGUGAUCAACCGCUUGAAUUGUCUUCGUGGAAAAGGCAUGGCCUCUAUGUACUCCUGGUCUGCUAAAAGAAGCUAUAGGAAUGGAUUCGUGUGGCACGAUUUAACAGAGGAUGAUUUUAUAUACCCAGCACAUGGUAAAGAGUAUGUUCUUAAAGGAUCAGAGCUUCUCAAUAAUUCAUUCCCUUCACAACAGGAUGAAAUUGAAUGUCCUAAUUCUAGAAAUCCAGUGCCUGAGAAAAUGAGUGAAGAUCGUGAGUUUCCAGUUGUAGCAAGACGUCGUAACCAGUCCUGGAGUUCCUCCGAUUUCCAUGAGUACUUAGUUUCCGGCGAAUUCAUCGGAAGAGCCGCCGCCAAUGCGUCUACUCAAACCGAUGACAAACGACGUCGUCGAAGAGCAAUGCGAGUCGUCGAAGAAGAAGAAGAAGAGUUGAGAGAAGACCGGACAAUUAAACUGGACGGUAAAGAACCGGACCGGUCAACGGAGCUGAAUAGAGGUGAAAUCUCACCACCAACGUCCCAUUCAAGCUCCGAAACGCUUGAGACGUUGAUGAAGGCGGAUGGAAAAGUGAUCUUACGGCCACAUACAAUCAGCGAAGAUCCUACGGCUAAAAUUCAAUCAAGCGGAAAGAGUAAUAAAGCAUCUUCCGUUCUGAUGCAAUUACUCUAUUGUGGUUCCAUGUCCUUCAAGCACUGUGGGCCCGGUUCUUUAAUUUCACAAUAUAAAACACUGGUGCCACGUGGCAGGUGUACCAAUCAAGUGCUGAAGGAUGUAGAGAGUCCAAUGGUGGAAUAUCAUGGAAGUGAAGAGAGAAUUAAGUUGAAAGAUAAGGAGUAUUUUAGUGGGAGUUUAAUAGAGAUGAAGAAGCAGAAAUUUCCAGCUCUAAAGAGAUCUUCUUCAUACAAUGUGGAAAGGUAUAUGAAGGUUCCUUGCCGUGGUGAAUUACUCCGCAAUUUGCAGUACUAUUGACGUGGGGAUCCAGCUAUUCAAUUGUUAUCUUAAUGAUAGGACUGAAUUAGGUUCUGCAGUUCUGUCUGGACUUAGCUAUUUAAUCUGCUCUACGUAAGCAAAAUAGAGCUUUGCAUCAUUAUACUCACCACAACACGUCAAUUAACUACUCAAUUGCUGGAAGGAGAACUCAUUACUGAUAGUGUGGGACAAUAUAUUUUCACCAAUUUGUUAGACUUUCGCUUCAAGAUUGUAUAACAUAGCUUUUGUCCUGCUUUCUCGAUUGAAAUUGAGAUCUACAAACGGGAGCGGAUCCACAUUAGGUGUGUGGGUUCGCGAGAACUCGCAACUUUUAUUCGAACCUUGUAUUUAUAAUGUGAAACUCUUCAAAUAUAUAAGAAAUUUGAGCUAAGAACCCAGUAACAACAGACACUGCUAGUUGGGAACCCACAAACUUCAAAUUUUGGAUCCGCCUCUGUCUACAAAUGCUACAUAUCAAGUAUCAACAUCCACUUAUGUAACUUUAGAAGAUCCAUAAAGGGGUUUCUUUUUCACAUGGAGUACAAAAUUGGAAUCGAUUGGGAGAGAAAACGAAGUGAAAACAAAAUGCUAUCUGAGAAAGCAAAAGAAUCAAUCGACCAGAAAGGAAGGAAAUAGUGACUUGUCUAAUGCCUUGCAGUAGCAUUUGCCAU
RNA transcript from Lycium barbarum (goji berry), 2071 nucleotides. It is a transcript of the gene named protein SOSEKI 5-like, with no coding region annotated. The transcript is spliced from 5 exons. NCBI's taxonomy places the organism in Eukaryota, Viridiplantae, Streptophyta, Magnoliopsida, Solanales, Solanaceae. The record is from RefSeq and is a predicted model, not a curated record.